This 560-nucleotide ribosomal RNA is filed under the name uncultured Glomus. Its description in RNAcentral is "SSU rRNA". It matches the Rfam family "Eukaryotic small subunit ribosomal RNA", at positions 546 to 1106 of the family's 1831-position model. Lineage: Eukaryota; Fungi; Glomeromycota; Glomeromycetes; Glomerales; Glomeraceae. The record is from RNAcentral.
AAUUGGAGGGCAAGUCUGGUGCCAGCAGCCGCGGUAAUUCCAGCUCCAAUAGCGUAUAUUAAAGUUGUUGCAGUUAAAAAGCUCGUAGUUGAAUUUCGGGAUCAGCAGGUUGGUCGUGCCUACGGUAUGAACUGGCCUUGCUGAUUCCUCCCUCUUGAUGAGCCGUAAUGCCAUUAAUUUGGUGUUGCGGGGAAUCAGGACUGUUACUUUGAAAAAAUUAGAGUGUUUAAAGCAGGCAAGCGCUUGAAUACAUUAGCAUGGAAUAAUAGAAUAGGACGGCAUGGUUCUAUUUUGUUGGUUUCUAGGAUCACCGUAAUGAUUAAUAGGGAUAGUUGGGGGCAUUAGUAUUCAAUUGUCAGAGGUGAAAUUCUUGGAUUUAUUGAAGACUAACUACUGCGAAAGCAUUUGCCAAGGAUGUUUUCAUUAAUCAAGAACGAAAGUUAGGGGAUCGAAGACGAUCAGAUACCGUCGUAGUCUUAACCAUAAACUAUGCCGACUAGGAAUCAGACGAUGUUAAUUUUUUAAUGACUCGUUUGGCACCUUACGGGAAACCAAAGUGU